RNAcentral lists this ribosomal RNA (250 nucleotides) under uncultured bacterium. RNAcentral describes it as "partial 16S ribosomal RNA". It matches the Rfam family "Bacterial small subunit ribosomal RNA", at positions 57 to 305 of the family's 1533-position model. The record is from RNAcentral.
GCAAGUCGAACGGUAACAGGCCCUUCGGGGUGCUGACGAGUGGCGGACGGGUGAGUAACGCGUAGGAAUCUGCCCAAUAGUGGGGGACAACCCGGAGAAAUCCGGGCUAAUACCGCAUACGCCCUACGGGGGAAAGGAGGGGACCUCUUCGGAGACCUUUCGCUAUUGGAUGAGCCUGCGUCGGAUUAGCUUGUUGGUAGGGUAAUGGCCUACCAAGGCAACGAUCCGUAGCUGGUCUGAGAGGACGAUC